GAUGAAGAACGUAGCGAAAUGCGAUACUUGGUGUGAAUUGCAGAAUCCCGUGAACCAUCGAGUCUUUGAACGCAAGUUGCGCCCGAAGCCACUAGGCCGAGGGCACGCCUGCCUGGGCGUCACACGCCGUUGCCCCCCCAUCUACUCCUUCGGGAUUGCGGGGGGGCGGAUGAUGGCCUCCCGUGCGCCUAGCCGCGCGGUUGGCAUAAAUACCAAGUCCUCGGCGACGCACGCCACGACAAUCGGUGGUUGCGAAACCUCGGUUGCCCGUCGUGUGCGUUCGUCGCGCAUCGAGGGCUCGAAAAAAUGCUCGGCUCCGGCUGGGCUUUCAACGCGACCCCAGGUCAGGCGGGGUUACCCGCUGAAUUUAAGCAUAUCAAUAAGCGGAUGA
Molecule: unclassified non-coding RNA, 391 nt
Filed under: soil metagenome
Description: partial contains 5.8S ribosomal RNA, internal transcribed spacer 2, and large subunit ribosomal RNA
Rfam family: 5.8S ribosomal RNA (bases 1-122)
Source: RNAcentral